AUUGAACGCUGGCGGCAUGCUUUACGCAUGCAAGUCGAACGGUAACAGGCCUUCGGGUGCUGACGAGUGGCGAACGGGUGAGUAAUGCAUCGGAACGUGCCCAGAGGUGGGGGAUAACGCAGCGAAAGCUGUGCUAAUACCGCAUGUGAUCUGAGGAUGAAAGCGGGGGACCAGGCAGCAAUGUUUGGCCUCGCGCCUUUGGAGCGGCCGAUGUCAGAUUAGGUAGUUGGUGGGGUAAAGGCCUACCAAGCCGACGAUCUGUAGCUGGUCUGAGAGGACGACCAGCCACACUGGGACUGAGACACGGCCCAGACUACUACGGGAGGCAGCAGUGGGGAAUGUUGGACAAUGGGCGCAAGCCUGAUCCAGCAAUGCCGCGUGCGGGAAGAAGGCCUUCGGGUUGUAAACCGCUUUUGUACGGAACGAAAAGGCUCUGGCUAAUACCUGGGGCUGAUGACGGUACCGGAAGAAUAAGCACCGGCUAACUACGUG
This 492-nucleotide ribosomal RNA is filed under the name uncultured bacterium. RNAcentral's name for it is "partial 16S ribosomal RNA". It matches the Rfam family "Bacterial small subunit ribosomal RNA", at positions 29 to 507 of the family's 1533-position model. The record is from RNAcentral.